CGGACUCCAGGACUUAUCUAACUGUAUGAUAAGCGUAGUGUUAAACGUUUGCGUCUGCUCAGGGUAUUUUCCGCAAAAAUGCCGUGUUAUGGCGCAUUAAACCGGCGGCCGACGGAGAAUAAAUGCCUGAAAAAGUGCGCAAACGGAAUCAGGGCUGCGCGCGUUGCGCAACAAGGGCGGGAUUCUAACAAGGCUGAACGGAUAAAACGAGAUUUUUACCCACAGCUGUGGGAAAAUAGAAUAACCACAAUGAUUAUGUGGUUAAGGAGCAACCCAUGAGUACCGAUCUUAAACUGGCGUUAAUGACCACUGUCGGCUGCCUGCUGAUGAUUGUGGCCUUUAGUUUUACCGCUGUACUGCACUGAU
RNAcentral lists this small RNA (366 nucleotides) under Pantoea anthophila. RNAcentral describes it as "Enterobacterial sRNA STnc550". The record is from RNAcentral. Lineage: Bacteria; Pseudomonadati; Pseudomonadota; Gammaproteobacteria; Enterobacterales; Erwiniaceae.